RNAcentral lists this ribosomal RNA (1306 nucleotides) under uncultured bacterium. Its description in RNAcentral is "bacterial SSU rRNA". It matches the Rfam family "Bacterial small subunit ribosomal RNA", at positions 93 to 1401 of the family's 1533-position model. The record is from RNAcentral.
GAGCGGCGGACGGGUGAGUAACGCGUGGGUAACCUGCCUCAUACAGGGGGAUAACAGUUAGAAAUGGCUGCUAAUACCGCAUAAGACCACAGCACCGCAUGGUGCAGAGGUAAAAACUCCGGUGGUAUGAGAUGGACCCGCGUCUGAUUAGCUGGUUGGUGGGGUAACGGCCCACCUAGUCUUCGAUGGAUAGGGGUUCUGAGAGGAAGGUCCCCCACAUUGGAACUGAGACACGGUCCAAACUCCUACGGGAGGCAGCAGUGAGGAAUAUUGGUCAAUGGACGAGAGUCUGAACCAGCCAAGUAGCGUGAAGGAUGAAGGUUCUAUGGAUUGUAAACUUCUUUUAUACGGGAAUAAACGGAUCCACGUGUGGAUUUUUGCAUGUACCGUAUGAAUAAGGAUCGGCUAACUCCGUGCCAGCAGCCGCGGUAAUACGGAGGAUCCGAGCGUUAUCCGGAUUUAUUGGGUUUAAAGGGAGCGUAGAUGGGUUGUUAAGUCAGUUGUGAAAGUUUGCGGCUCAACCGUAAAAUUGCAAUUGAUACUGGCAGUCUUGAGUACAGUUGAGGUAGGCGGAAUUCGUGGUGUAGCGGUGAAAUGCUUAGAUAUCACGAAGAACUCCGAUUGCGAAGGCAGCUUACUAACCUGUAACUGACAUUGAUGCUCGAAAGUGUGGGUAUCAAACAGGAUUAGAUACCCUGGUAGUCCACACGGUAAACGAUGAAUACUCGCUGUAGGCGAUAUACAGUCUGCGGCCAAGCGAAAGCAUUAAGUAUUCCACCUGGGGAGUACGCCGGCAACGGUGAAACUCAAAGGAAUUGACGGGGGCCCGCACAAGCGGAGGAACAUGUGGUUUAAUUCGAUGAUACGCGAGGAACCUUACCCGGGCUUAAAUUGCAACCGAAUAUGGCGGAAACGCUAUAGCUAGCAAUAGCGGUUGUGAAGGUGCUGCAUGGUUGUCGUCAGCUCGUGCCGUGAGGUGUCGGCUUAAGUGCCAUAACGAGCGCAACCCUUGCCGAUAGUUACUAACAGGUUAUGCUGAGGACUCUGUCGGGACUGCCAUCGUAAGAUGUGAGGAAGGUGGGGAUGACGUCAAAUCAGCACGGCCCUUACGUCCGGGGCUACACACGUGUUACAAUGGGGGGUACAGAGGGCUGCUACCACGCAAGUGGAUGCCAAUCCCAAAAACCUCUCUCAGUUCGGAUUGAAGUCUGCAACCCGACUUCAUGAAGCUGGAUUCGCUAGUAAUCGCGCAUCAGCCACGGCGCGGUGAAUACGUUCCCGGGCCUUGCACACACCGCCCGUCAAG